UGAUACGCGAGGAACCGUUACCUGGGCUUAAAUGCAGAGUGCAUGAAGUGGGAACACUUCUUCCCUUCGGGGCUCUUUGCAAGGUGCUGCAUGGUUGUCGUCAGCUCGUGCCGUGAGGUGCCGGGUUAAGUCCCAUAACGAGCGCAACCCUUAUCGUUAGUUGCCAGCGGGUAAAGCCGGGAACUCUAGCGAAACUGCCGGUGUAAACCGAGAGGAAGGUGGGGAUGACGUCAAAUCAGCACGGCCCUUAUGUCCAGGGCUACACACGUGUUACAAUGGCCGGUACAGAGGGCAGCUACCUGGAGACAGGAUGCGAAUCUCGAAAGCCGGUCUCAGUUCGGAUCGGAGUCUGCAACUCGACUGCGUGAAGUCGGAAUCGCUAGUAAUCGUGGAUCAGAAUGUCACGGUGAAUACGUUCCCGGGUCUU
RNAcentral lists this ribosomal RNA (427 nucleotides) under uncultured Sphingobacteriales bacterium. RNAcentral's name for it is "bacterial SSU rRNA". It matches the Rfam family "Bacterial small subunit ribosomal RNA", at positions 955 to 1382 of the family's 1533-position model. The record is from RNAcentral. Lineage: Bacteria; Pseudomonadati; Bacteroidota; Sphingobacteriia; Sphingobacteriales.